GACGAACGCUGGCGGCGUGCUUAACACAUGCAAGUCGAACGGAAAGGCCCUGCUUUUGUGGGGUGCUCGAGUGGCGAACGGGUGAGUAACCCGUGAGUCACCUGCCCUUGACUUUGGGAUAACUUCAGGAAACUGGGGCUAAUACCGGCUAGGAGCUCCUGCUGCAUGGUGGGGGUUGGAAAGUUUCGGCGGUUGGGGAUGGACUCGCGGCUUACCAGCUUGUUGGUGGGGUAGUGGCCUACCAAGGCUUUGACGGGUAGCCGGCCUGAGAGGGUGACCGGCGACAUUGGGACUGAGAUACGGCCCAGACUCCUACGGGAGACAGCAGUGGGGAAUAUUGCACAAUGGGCGGAAGCCUGAGGCAGCAACGCCGCGUGCGGGAUGACGGCCUUCGGGUUGUAAACCGCUGUCGCCUGUGACGAAGCGUGAGUGACGGUAAUGGGUAAAGAAGCACCGGCUAACUACGUG
This 468-nucleotide ribosomal RNA is filed under the name uncultured bacterium. RNAcentral describes it as "partial 16S ribosomal RNA". It matches the Rfam family "Bacterial small subunit ribosomal RNA", at positions 28 to 507 of the family's 1533-position model. The record is from RNAcentral.